CAUAUCCAUAAGCGGAGGAAAAGAAACUAACAAGGAUUCCCCUAGUAACUGCGAGUGAAGCGGGAAAAGCUCAAAUUUAAAAUCUGGCGGUCUUUGGCUGUCCGAGUUGUAAUCUAGAGAAGUGUUAUCCUGCUGGACCGUGUACAAGUCUCCUGGAAUGGAGCGUCAUAGAGGGUGAGAAUCCCGUCUUUGACACGGACUGCCAGGACUUUGUGAUGCGCUCUCAAAGAGUCGAGUUGUUUGGGAAUGCAGCUCAAAAUGGGUGGUAAAUUCCAUCUAAAGCUAAAUAUUGGCGAGAGACCGAUAGCGAACAAGUACCGUGAGGGAAAGAUGAAAAGAACUUUGGAAAGAGAGUUAAACAGUACGUGAAAUUGCUGAAAGGGAAACGCUUGAAGUCAGUCGCGUUGUCCAGGGAUCAACCUUGCUUUUGCUUGGUGCACUUUCUGGUUGACGGGUCAGCAUCAAUUUUGAUCAUUGGAAAAAGAUUAGGGGAAUGUGGCAUCUUCGGAUGUGUUAUAGCCCUUGGUUGCAUACAAUGGUUGGGAUUGAGGAACUCAGCACGCCGCAAGGCCGGGUUUUUAACCACGUACGUGCUUAGGAUGCUGGCAUAAUGGCUUUAAUCGACCCGUCUUGAAACACGGACCAAGGAGUCUAACAUGCCUGCGAGUGUUUGGGUGGAAAACCCGAGCGCGUAAUGAAAGUGAAAGUUGAGAUCCCUGUCGUGGGGAGCAUCGACGCCCGGACCAGACCUUUUGUGACGGUUCCGCGGUAGAGCAUGUAUGUUGGGACCCGAAAGAUGGUGAACUAUGCCUGAAUAGGGUGAAGCCAGAGGAAACUCUGGUGGAGGCUCGUAGCGAUUCUGACGUGCAAAUCGAUCGUCAAAUUUGGGUAUAGGGGCGAAGACUAAUCGA
This 911-nucleotide ribosomal RNA is filed under the name Cortinarius chrysma. RNAcentral's name for it is "partial large subunit ribosomal RNA". It matches the Rfam family "Eukaryotic large subunit ribosomal RNA", at positions 39 to 938 of the family's 3401-position model. Lineage: Eukaryota; Fungi; Basidiomycota; Agaricomycetes; Agaricales; Cortinariaceae. The record is from RNAcentral.